CUAAGAAUCUAGCCUCCCUCUCCUACCCCCCCCCCCCCUUUUUUUUAACUCAAACUAAAAUAUUUUAACAGCCCAGUAAAGAAGAUUAAAAAACUCCUAAGAGCUAUAAACUUGUACCGCAAGGGAAAGAUGAAAUAAAAAUGAAAAAAAUCUCAAGCACAAAGAAAUAGAGACUAACCCUCGUACCUUUUGCAUCAUGGUUUAGCUAGUAUAACCAGGCAAAAAGAUUUUAAGUCUGGCCCCCCGAAACUAAGUGAGCUAAUUUAGGGCCGCUUAAUGAGCUAACCCGUCUAUGUUGCAAAAUGGUGGGAAGACCCUAAAAUAGAGGUGAAAAACCUAACGAACUCAGUCAUAGCUGGUUUCUCAAGAAAAGAAUUUUAGUCCAACCUAAAGAAGCCCUAAUUUAUAUAAAUUCACCCCCAUCUUUAGAGCAAUUCAAAUGAGGUACAGCCCAUUUGAUACAGGAUACAACCUCCACUAACGGGUAACCACAACUUACAACCUCAAGUAGGCCUAAGAGCAGCCACCUUUUAAAAAGCGUCAGAGCUUAACUGUGUGUGUACUAAUUUAAACCCCAACAUCUACCCCUUUAACUGUAUUGAGAACUUCUAUACUACUAUAGAACCUUUUAUGCUAAAACUAGUAACAAGAGAUAACCCUCUCUUUAAUGCAAACAUAAGCCAGUAAGAACCCAUCUCUGGCAAUUAACAGACUUAAACAAAAGUAGUAACUCCACUAGAAAACCCUCCUUUACCCAACUGUUAACCUAACACCAGAGCAUUUCAAGAAAGAUUAAAAGAAAAAGAAGGAACUCGGCAAACACUAGUCUCGCCUGUUUACCAAAAACAUCGCCUCUUGCUCACAUAAGAGGUCAAGCCUGCCCAGUGACCCCAUUUAACGGCCGCGGUAUCCUAACCGUGCAAAGGUAGCGUAAUCACUUGUUUUCUAAAUAAAGACCAGUAUGAAAGGCAUCACGAGGACUAAACUGUCUCCUUUCUCUAAUCAGUGAACCUAAUCUCCCCGUGAAGAAGCGGGGAUAUCAUUAUAAGACGAGAAGACCCUAUGGAGCUUAAAACAUCAUAACACCUGCCACGAAUUUUUAACUACUCAGGUAUCUUCUUAGCGGCACCCUGAUUAUAUGUUUUUGGUUGGGGUGACCGCGGAGAAAAACUUAUCCCCCGCGAUGAACGGGGCUACCCCCUAAACAACAAGUCACAACUUUAUGUACCAAUAAAUUGACAUCCAUUGACCCAAUAAUUUGAUUAACGAACCAAGUUACCCUAGGGAUAACAGCGCAAUCCACUUUGAGAGCCCAUAUCGACAAGUGGGCUUACGACCUCGAUGUUGGAUCGGGGUAUCCUAGUGGUGCAGCCGCUACUAAAGGUUCGUUUGUUCAACGAUUAAAACCCCACGUGAUCUGAGUUCAGACCGGAGUAAUCCAGGUCAGUUUCUAUCUAUAAAGAGCUAUUUUCAGUACGAAAGGACCAAAGUAGCAUGGCCAAUACCCCCGCAAGCCAUAGUUAAUAUUUUAGACCCCCACUCAAAAAACUAUUAACCUUCCCCUCCCCCCAAGAAAAGGACA
RNAcentral lists this ribosomal RNA (1582 nucleotides) under Pristimantis simonsii (Paramo Andes frog). RNAcentral's name for it is "16S ribosomal RNA". It matches the Rfam family "Bacterial large subunit ribosomal RNA", at positions 408 to 2925 of the family's 2925-position model. The record is from RNAcentral. Lineage: Eukaryota; Metazoa; Chordata; Amphibia; Anura; Strabomantidae.